UGCAAGUCGAACGGAUCCUUCGGGAUUAGUGGCGACGGGUGAGUAACACGUGGGAACGUGCCCUUUGGUUCGGAACAACUCAGGGAAACUUGAGCUAAUACCGGAUGUGCCCUUCGGGGGAAAGAGUUAUCGCCAUUGGAGCGGCCCGCGUCUGAUUAGCUAGUUGGUGAGGUAAAGGCUCACCCAAGGCGACGAUCAGUAGCUGGUCUGAGAGGAUGAUCAGCCACAUUGGGACUGAGACACGGCCCAAACUCCUACGGGAGGCAGCAGUGGGGAAUCUUGCGCAAUGGGCGAAAGCCUGACGCAGCCAUGCCGCGUGAAUGAUGAAGGUCUUAGGAUUGUAAAAUUCUUUCACCGGGGACGAUAAUGACGGUACCCGGAGAAGAAGCCCCGGCUAACUUCGUG
Molecule: ribosomal RNA, 405 nt
Filed under: uncultured bacterium
Lineage: Bacteria
Description: bacterial SSU rRNA
Rfam family: Bacterial small subunit ribosomal RNA
Source: RNAcentral